RNAcentral lists this ribosomal RNA (464 nucleotides) under uncultured bacterium. RNAcentral describes it as "partial 16S ribosomal RNA". It matches the Rfam family "Bacterial small subunit ribosomal RNA", at positions 339 to 795 of the family's 1533-position model. The record is from RNAcentral.
CUACGGGCUGCUCCAGUGGGGAAUAUUGCACAAUGGGCGAAAGCCUGAUGCAGCCAUGCCGCGUGUGUGAAGAAGGCCUUAGGGUUGUAAAGCACUUUCAGUGGGGAGGAAAGGUUAGUAGUUAAUACCUGCUAGCUGUGACGUUACCCACAGAAGAAGGACCGGCUAAUUCCGUGCCAGCAGCCGCGGUAAUACGGAGGGUCCGAGCGUUAAUCGGAAUUACUGGGCGUAAAGCGCACGUAGGCGGCUAGGUCAGUUGGGUGUGAAAGCCCCGGGCUCAACCUGGGAACUGCAUCCAAUACUGCCUGGCUAGAGUACGAGAGAGGGGGGUAGAAUUUCUAGUGUAGCGGUGAAAUGCGUAGAUAUUAGAAGGAAUACCAGUGGCGAAGGCGGCCCCCUGGCUCGAUACUGACGCUGAGGUGCGAAAGCGUGGGGAGCAAACAGGAUUAGAUACCCCCGUAGUC